RNAcentral lists this unclassified non-coding RNA (100 nucleotides) under Paederia foetida. Its description in RNAcentral is "partial external transcribed spacer". The record is from RNAcentral. Lineage: Eukaryota; Viridiplantae; Streptophyta; Magnoliopsida; Gentianales; Rubiaceae.
CCUCUAUCUGCCCACGACCCUCGGUCACAAAUAUCAUUCGAACGACGUUCGGCGUCGCGAGGGCGUCCGCGCCCCGCGGCCCGAUGUCCGUGAGGAAUGC